AUGAGGGUCAAAGCUACUUUCUUUAACAGAACAAAGUUUGUUGUCGGUGAUGGCAAUAACACUCGAUUCUGGGAAGAUACCUGGCUAGGUGAUGCACCACUGGCACUCCAGUAUCCGGCGCUUUAUCGCAUUGUGCAGCGACGGGAUGCUCUGGUUGCAACGAGUCUGCAAUCUGCUCCUCUUAACAUCCAAUUUAGGAGGGUGCUUGUGGGUGACCGGUGGGAGGCUUGGAUUCAUCUGGUGAGUAAACUCAUGGAGGUUCAACUUACUCAUCAGCCCGAUCAGUUGUAUUGGAAGCUUACUAAAUCUGGUGAAUUCACAGUCAAGUCGAUGUACAUUGAUGUCAUCAAUUCUAGUGUAAUUCCUAGUUCCAAACACGUUUGGAAAGUUAAGGUUCCUCUCAAAAUUAAAGUGUUUAUGUGGUUUAUGCAUAAACAAGUCAUUCUAACGAAAGAUAAUUUGAUUAAGCGCAACUGA
Molecule: ribosomal RNA, 477 nt
Filed under: Triticum aestivum (bread wheat)
Lineage: Eukaryota; Viridiplantae; Streptophyta; Magnoliopsida; Poales; Poaceae
Description: partial small subunit ribosomal RNA
Source: RNAcentral